This 72-nucleotide transfer RNA is filed under the name Methanomassiliicoccales archaeon. RNAcentral's name for it is "tRNA-Gly". It matches the Rfam family "tRNA". Rfam says of the family: Transfer RNA (tRNA) molecules are approximately 80 nucleotides in length. Their secondary structure includes four short double-helical elements and three loops (D, anti-codon, and T loops). Further hydrogen bonds mediate the characteristic L-shaped molecular structure. tRNAs have two regions of fundamental functional importance: the anti-codon, which is responsible for specific mRNA codon recognition, and the 3' end, to which the tRNAs corresponding amino acid is attached (by aminoacyl-tRNA synthetases). tRNAs cope with the degeneracy of the genetic code in two manners: having more than one tRNA (with a specific anti-codon) for a particular amino acid; and 'wobble' base-pairing, i.e. permitting non-standard base-pairing at the 3rd anti-codon position. The record is from RNAcentral. Lineage: Archaea; Methanobacteriati; Thermoplasmatota; Thermoplasmata; Methanomassiliicoccales. RNAcentral also lists the same sequence under 1 other name.
GCGGACAUAGUCUAGCGGUCAGGACUGAAGCUUCCCAAGCUUCGAACCCGGGUUCGAAUCCCGGUGUCCGCA